Molecule: ribosomal RNA, 2907 nt
Filed under: Mastigamoeba abducta
Lineage: Eukaryota; Evosea; Mastigamoebida; Mastigamoebidae
Description: partial small subunit ribosomal RNA
Rfam family: Eukaryotic small subunit ribosomal RNA
Source: RNAcentral
UAGUCAUAUGCUUGUGUUAAAGAUUAAGCCAUGCAUGCCUAAGUACAGGUAGCAAAACCGAAACUGCGGAUGGCUCAUUAUAACAGUUAUUAUUGAAAUAGUGAAUAAUUGGAAGAGUGAAGGCUGAGGGCAAGCCUCGCAAGGGGCAGACCUCUGUCUUUGGGAAUUCAAGAAUGAAAGAGAUAGAUGGAUAACCCUGCUAAUCGUAGAGCUAAUACAUGAAGUCAAGGCUCGAGGGAAAGUGGGAAGCAGACAGGCCGAGGCAUGGGGAGGGCGGAGAAGCAAAAAGUCAGGGCCCCGCAUUUGACAACCCUGCACCAACCCCGGGGCAAUGAGAAAGCCUGGGGUGGGGGAGGAUCAGACGCCGCGCCCAUGCGAGUAGGUUGCUGGAGCCCACACACCAGAGAGCCGCGUUUGUCAGCAAAGCGAGGAAGGAGAGCAGGCGAGGUGUUGCGGACGAGGAAGAGAGGAAACUCUCGAGUCGGCUGCGAUGGCUCAGCAUGAUAUUAGGAGACGAAGACAUGAGAAUGCAUCGUGGGGAAACGGGGGGAUACAACCUGGCCACAGAUGACAAUGUCAUGAGGAUAAAAACGGACCGUUGGAUGAGUCAAUUUGGGGAAGAGAAGUGAAAACAAAAAGCCGUUUGUUGAGAAUCUCAGAUCGACGGGGUGAAACUUGUUGAGAGGGGAGAGGAGACAAAAUGACAAAAAGCUGAAUCGACACGACGGGGGUGAAUGAGUCUCCAAGUGAGAUAGGACAAAGGAGCAAAUUGCAAUAAAGGGGUGUCCCUCUUCACGGGGGGACGUCUGGCAGUACACUAGAGAAAUUUCUGACCUAUCAACUAGAUGGUAGGAUAGGGGCCUACCAUGGUUGUCACGGGUAACGAGGAAUUAGGGUUCGAUUUCGGAGAGUUGGCCUGGGAAACGGCGAACACUUCCAAGGAAGGCAGCAGGCGCGUAAAUUACUCGGUGCCAAUACGGCGAGGUAGUAACGACAAAUACCAAUGCCCGACCUCCCCUCGGGGAGGGGGCAAUUGGAAUGGGUACAAUGUAAAGAUGUGUGCGAGUAACGAUUGGAGGGAAAGUCUGGUGCCAGCAGCCGCGGUAAUUCCAGCUCCAAGAGUGUAUACUAAAGUUGUUGCGGUUAAAAAGCUCGUAGUCGAUGUUAGGAGUUUCUCUGUUUGACAAUCUCACGAUUGAAUCUUUCAGGUUUGAUUAAUUAUUUUAUAAUUGAUUAAGAUUUUCUCCCUUUUCUCUAUUGUUUUUUGAUUUAAUCUUCGGAUUAAGUUGGGAAAGAUUUGAGAUGGGGGGGGCAAAUCAAACUCCUUAAUGUAUUUGGAUUAGUUAUUACAUGAUUUAAAUAUCAAAAGUAAUAGUAACAUUGAGGAUUGAUGAGUCAAAUCAUUUGGUCUCUCGGUGGAAACUACCAAAUCAAUUACUUUGAAUAAAAUAAAAUGUUCAAAGCAGGUUAACAGCCAGAAUAAGAUAGCAUAGGAUAAUAAGAAAACAAGGGAAGUGAAGCCUCCGUUCAGACAAUAGGAACAACAGAGCCUGAGUUGACGGGAAUGGGUUUCUCAGGGAUGCUCAUGAUUGAAUGACAACGAGCCGAAUGGAGCCACAAUGGGUGACUCCGCGGCGAAGGAUUCAAUUUGAGAACAGAAAGAAAGAUCAUUUGAAUGUUGAUUUCUAGAGGUGAAGUAAACUUCCACAAAUAAGAGUGAUUAAUAGGAACAGUCGGGGUGGUUUAUAUUUAAUAGCGAGAGGUGAAAUUCUAUGAGCUAUUCAAGAUAAACUAAAGCGAAAGCAUUCCACAAGGAUGAAUUCAUUGAUCAAGAACGAAAGUUGGGGGAUCGAAGACGAUCAGAUACCGUCGUAGUCUCAACAGUAAACGAUGCCGACCAGGGAUUGGAGAAAGUCGUAAAGAGUGGGUUAGACGAUGGGGGGAGUAAAAUCCCGCCCCAUGGUAUGACUCAUUUUAAAACAACUUUAAUAAUAGGACUUCUUCAGCACCUCAGAGAGAAAUCAAAGAGUGUUUGGGCUUCGGGGGAAGUAUGGUCGCAAGGCUGAAACUUAAAGGAAUUGACGGAAGGGCACUACCAGGAGUGGAGCUGCGGCUCAAUUUGACUCAACACGGGGAAACUUACCAGGUCCAGACAGUAGGAGGAUAGACAGAUUGAGAGCUCUUUCUUGAUUUGCUGGGUGGUGGUGCAUGGCCGUUCUUAGUUGGUGGUGUGAAUUGUCUGGUCAAUUCCGAUAACGAACGAGACCUUAACAUGAUAAAUAAGUUCAGCCAAGGCAAGUGGAGUGGAUUGGGAUCUGAGUCCGCAGCAAUGUGGAUUUGGGUUGUGAUUGGCUUCAUUCACUUGGCAGAAGAAAUGAUGUGGGUCGGGUCGAGUCAAAUCGAUGUGACUUCAUUAUAUGAACUUCUUAAAGGGACUAUUUGCGUAAUAUAACCAGCGAAUGGAAGUUUGAGGCAAUAACAGGUCUGUGAUGCCCUUUGAUGUCCUGGGCUGCACGCGCGCUACAAUGAUUGAAACAGAGAGUAAUAUUGCGUGGGGUGGGUGGGGGCGGCGAUGGCGAGCCUUCGGGCUCUCUUGUCUCGCUCCCUCCCCCCCGCCAAUGACCAGGGUUGAGGAAUACUGGGGAAACUUGAGAAAGUCAAUCAUGAUGGGGAUAGAUCAUUGGAAUUAUUGGUCUUGAACGAGGAAUUCCUCGUAAGCACAAGUCAACAGCUUGUGCUGAAUACGUCCCUGCCCUUUGUACACACCGCCCGUCGCUCCUACCGAUUGGAUGAUCCGGUGAAAAUUGUGGAUCCCGCCUGUCUUUGCUCCUCACGGGGUGGGAACGGGUGAGAGAAAUUAUUUGAACCUUAUUAUCUAGAGGAAGGAGAAGUUGUAACAAGGUAUCC